CAACCUCCCACCCGUGUUUAUUUUACCUUGUUGCUUCGGCGGGCCCGCCUUAACUGGCCGCCGGGGGGCUUACGCCCCCGGGCCCGCGCCCGCCGAAGACACCCUCGAACUCUGUCUGAAGAUUGUAGUCUGAGUGAAAAUAUAAAUUAUUUAAAACUUUCAACAACGGAUCUCUUGGUUCCGGCAUCGAUGAAGAACGCAGCGAAAUGCGAUACGUAAUGUGAAUUGCAAAUUCAGUGAAUCAUCGAGUCUUUGAACGCACAUUGCGCCCCCUGGUAUUCCGGGGGGCAUGCCUGUCCGAGCGUCAUUUCUGCCCUCAAGCACGGCUUGUGUGUUGGGCCCCGUCCUCCGAUCCCGGGGGACGGGCCCGAAAGGCAGCGGCGGCACCGCGUCCGGUCCUCGAGCGUAUGGGGCUUUGUCACCCGCUCUGUAGGCCCGGCCGGCGCUUGCCGAUCAACCCAAAUUUUUAUCCAGGUUGACCUCGGAUCAGGUAGGGAUACCCGCUGAACUUAAGCAUAUCAAUAAGCAGAGGAA
Molecule: ribosomal RNA, 534 nt
Filed under: Penicillium chrysogenum
Lineage: Eukaryota; Fungi; Ascomycota; Eurotiomycetes; Eurotiales; Aspergillaceae
Description: eukaryotic LSU rRNA
Rfam family: 5.8S ribosomal RNA (bases 155-307)
Source: RNAcentral